UGGAAGAGCAACCCUCUGGUGUGGGGCAGGU
RNAcentral lists this non-coding RNA (31 nucleotides) under Homo sapiens (human). The record is from RNAcentral. Lineage: Eukaryota; Metazoa; Chordata; Mammalia; Primates; Hominidae.